Molecule: long non-coding RNA, 2906 nt
Organism: Sorex araneus (European shrew)
Lineage: Eukaryota; Metazoa; Chordata; Mammalia; Eulipotyphla; Soricidae
Exons: 3
Source: RefSeq, a predicted model, not a curated record
UUUGUAUAUUGCAUGAUCUUUUAUCAGAAAAAAAAUAAAACAGAUCCAAUUUCAUGAAAAUGCUGUUGCCUUAAUGCUCAGGAGAACUGGGGGAAGAAAGAGAUUCUACCUUAUAUGCAGGAACUUCUGACAACUACAACUAGAAUGUGACAGGAAGACAUUAGUUCAGAGAUUCUCAAGGAUUCCACGAACGUCUAUGCUGUCAUCUGCUGCGGGUGGAGGUCUAUCUGGGCGGCGCUGAGCAACGAUUCCGCUCCACCAAUCAGAGCCCAUUAAAGGUUGCCCUUUUCUUUCCUUCCUCGCCGUCAUUUGGGAUCUCUUUACUACAGUUUCUAAAAUAAUAGCCAUUCUAACACAUGGGAUUUGGCGUCUGACAUUUGACAUUGUGGUUUCUCUUUGUAUUUUCCUGAUGAUUAGUAAUAUUGGCCAUAUUUGCAUAUCUCUUCUGGUCAUUUAUAAAUCUUCUUUGGGAAAACAUCUACUCACUCCAUAUGCCCUCUCUUAAUUGGAAUUUUUCAUUCAAUUCUAGUGAGUUGUAUGCAUUUUGAAUAUUAGUUCCCUUUGUAGAUAUAUCACUUACAAAUAUUUUAUUCUCUGCUGUUUUAUUCUAGUUUGCCAUUUCAUUUUAUUGAUGGCUUUCUUUGCUGUACAGAAACUGUACAAAUUUCAAUAUUUCUGUUUGAUGUCACUCAUUAUUUUUGAUUUUGUUAUCUUUGCUUUAGCUGUUAUCAAAAAAUACCACGGUUCUGGAUUCUAUUAUCGAGCGUAUCCUCGAUGUUUUAUAGUUUUCUGAAAUGGCUAAACAUUAAACCUGGAACUUUACCCCAUUGACUCUGAGUCAGAUCUGGUACACACAAGUGUUUUUUCAAUCAUCAUACAAUUUUUAUAAAUUGAAUCAGAUGCAUUUUUAUGGUGUAGGCUUUAUUCUUCCACAAGCUUAUUACUUCCAAAUAUAUGGUUAAACUAUGAAAUAUAUUUUUGAUUUGGGGUGACACCUGGCUGUUCUCAGGCCUUGUUCCUGGCUCUGUACUCAGAAACUGCUCUGGUGGUGUUCAAGGGACCCUAGUUAGUGCAAACUGAAAUAGGCCAAAUCCAAAGCAAGCAUCCUAACCCUAUACUGUCUCUCUGACUUCAUAUAGUAGUAUAUUUUCUAUUAUUUGUCUUACCUUGAAGAUGACUGACUCUGUGAUUCAACUCAAGAGAUUUUUCCCUGAGGAUAUUAAUUACCUUAAUAAUUUUAUAAUUCUGACUAUAGAGAUUUUUCAAUUUCCCCUGCCAUUACUUUGUCCCUUUUCAAGCGUUCUUUCAAGUAACUUUGCUUCUGUUACCACUGCACAAUACCUUACCAUUUUACUUUAUUAUGACUGUACACAACUUUUUAUGUACUUACCUUGUUCACAUAGGGAAACAAUCCAAUAUAUGUCUUCUUCCUUCUGACCUAUUUUUUUGAGCAGUAUUUCUUUGGUGGUCCUUCCAUUUGUGAUGAAUGGCAAAUUUCAUUUUUUAUUGCUGAAUAGAAUGAGAAUUCUUAUAUUGUUCCUGAUAUUAGACAAAAUGCUUUCAGCAUUACACUAUUGGGUAUUAUGUGGUUGUCCAAUUCUUAUAUGUGGCCUUGAUUGUAUUGAGGUACUUUUGCUCUAUACCCAGUUUGUUGACAGGUUUUUCUUUUUUGGUUUUUUGAGUCACACCCGGCGAUGCACAGGGGUUACUCCUGACUCUUCACUCAGGAAUUACCCCUGGCAGUGCUCAGGGGACCAUAUGGGAUGCUGGGAUUAGAACCGGGGUCAGCCGCGUGCAAGGCAAAUGCCCUACCCGCUGUGCUAUCGCUCCAGCCCCGACAGUUUUUUAUCAUGAAUGGGUGUUGAAUUUUGUCAAGUGUUUUUCUGCAUCUUUUGAAACUAUUAUAUUACCUUUAUAAUUCAUUUUGUUAAUGUGGUCUAUCAAUCACAUUUUAUGAUUUGCAUAUGUUGAAUUAUCCUUAUAUCCCUGGAAUAAAUUUCAUUUGAUCUUAGCAUAUGCUGCUUUUAAUAUGUUAUUGAAUUUUAACUUUAAUUCCUUUUAUUAUCUGGCUCAAGUCCAUGCAUAACAGUUACCUUGAUUAAAGUACCAUUUUCUGUGUCAGAAUUUAUAAGAAUAGUUACGUCUAGAUUCCUUAAACAUUUACUUAAUGAUAAAUUGCAUUAAAAGUAUUUGUUUAAAUUGCAUUAAAGUAUUUGUUUUUAACUAAAAUGGGUUUUAAUACUUAUUAAAAUUAUGUAUAUUCAUUUUUAAAAUGUCAACACAAUGGAAUAAAAAAGAAAGGAAAAAAAGAAAGAGGAAGAAAUGGAGAGAAAGAUGGAUGGAAGAGACCAGAGAGAUAGUGGGUAGGGCAUUUUCCCUGUAUGUGGCUGAUUUGAGUUCAAUUUCUGGAAUUCCAGAUGGUGUCUCGAGUACCACCAGAAUUUAUUCCUGAGUAUAUUAAUCCCUGACCAGGAAUUCAGCAUUGCUGGGUGUGUCUCCUGUCAAAACAAACAAACAAACAAACAAACAAAAAAUGGAAGGAAAAAAGUGUGGAUGACAAGUCCUUUCAAAAUACAGCCAUGUAAUUAAAAAGUAGAAAUAAAAUGAUGGUUUAAGGUCUUCAAAAGUGGAGACUUCUUUCUUUAUCUCAGAAAAAUUUUCUUUGGUUUCUUUGUGGGAGGUUCUAAGAGUUCUAAGCAGUUCUCAGGGGACAAAGGGCCCCUUCCAGAGAUUGAUUCUCAGUCCACAGUGGCUUGAAGUGAGGAUCAGAGGCUACUUUGCUUCUUGGGAGCCAUGUAGUACCAGGGCUAGGUGCAUACAAGUGACGCACUUAAUGCCUGUUACUUACUCUCUCUGCCCUCUCUUUAUUAUUUUUUGAAACAUUUUUUGUCAAAUUUGCUUUGACA